This 533-nucleotide ribosomal RNA is filed under the name Vairimorpha bombi. RNAcentral's name for it is "Nosema bombi partial contains small subunit ribosomal RNA, internal transcribed spacer and large subunit ribosomal RNA". The stretch from base 68 to 533 matches the Rfam family "Archaeal large subunit ribosomal RNA", at positions 1 to 679 of the family's 2987-position model. The record is from RNAcentral. Lineage: Eukaryota; Fungi; Microsporidia; Nosematidae.
GAUAUAAGUCGUAACAUGGUUGCUGUUGGAGAACCAUUAGCAGGAUCAUAAUCAGGAAGUAUAAGUUUGUUUGUAUGUCAUUACCCACACAUGGGAUCAAUAGGAUACCAUAACGAUGAANNNNNNNNNNNNNUACGAAAGUAUACUUACCGAAUUUAUAUUCUAGUAUAGAUUACCCUUUGAACUUAAGCAUAUCAUUAGAAGGAGGAAAAGAAACUAACUAGGAUUUCUUUAGUAGCAGCGAGUGAACAAGAAUCAACCCUUGAUUGUAAUCCUUUACUGGAGAUGUAAAUCACUGUUUUAUUACUUAUUUAUAAAGAAUAUGUAUUAUUCGUUAGUAACAAAAUAGUAAAUGUUUUUGAGUAGGGCUGCUUGGUAGUGCAGUUUGAAUACAGGUAGAAUGAGAUAUCUAAGGUUAAAUAUAAUGGUAUACCGAUAGCAAAUAAGUACUGCGAAGGAAUUUGUGAAAAUGUGUGGGAUGUAGCCUUAUUUUUAAGGACCCGUCUUGAAACACGGACCAAGGAGAUUAUAAU